AUGCCAUGCCAUGGUCCGCCAUUUACUUUGAGAGUGGGAGAACAGCCAUUGUUGAGGGUUGGUCCUCUUCGCCAUUGGCCCGAGAAAAUUGGUCUAGGAAGAUCAGCAUCGAAUGUAGGACGUCUUCGGGGGCUCAGCCAUGUGAGAAAUCAUGUGGGCGACUGGUAAUUCAUUGCCGGAUUCCGACUCUUGCGGCCAAAUCGCCGCGCGACGAGAACAAGCCUCCUCGGGAUCUAAUCACCGGAGAAGAACAUAUGGUUCAAGUGGAGCCACACAUCGAGGAUUUCGAUUCAAUCUAGGUGGCGUCUCCUAGUUAACUUGCGCCAAGGAUGAUCCAUAGUUCGUUUUCUAUUUACCUUUUACUUUUGUAAGACUUCCGCUAUAUAAUAAGUACUCUGAUUUUAUUGUGACAUUUAUCUCUAUACACUCUGUUAUUAUAUAUGUUGUCUUCUUUGGCAUGUAUGAGAUGCACCCGGCUUUGUCCCUUAAAACCCGGUGUGUCAUUUAGUGGGCGGAAAGUUUUACUCCGAUGUUUGGGUGAACGGUGGCCGAGAAUUGGCCAACAAAAUCAUAAAGAAAAAUGAAAAAGAAACCCACGAUGCUCAAGAAGAAGCUAAACAAGCCGAAGAAGCUGCCGAGCGCGCAAGGCGUAUAGCUGAACUCUCACCGCUGCUCGAGCCGUACGACCCCCUGGCCGAUCCCAUCAUGAAAGAAGCGCUGGAUGUAAUGAGCGUCGCUAACUCCAUCGUCGACGAAGUCGUCGAUAGGCUGCUGAAUGAAGCCGCCGAGAAGAUUCUUAAAGAAGAUUAAGCUUUUAUUGUAAUGAUACAAUGUAACAUUUGGUGUAUGAAACAAUUAAUCAGACAUGUAAAUUAAUGUAAUAUAUUUCCUUGCAAUGCA
Molecule: long non-coding RNA, 900 nt
Organism: Zea mays
Lineage: Eukaryota; Viridiplantae; Streptophyta; Magnoliopsida; Poales; Poaceae
Exons: 3
Source: RefSeq, marked validated